This 572-nucleotide long non-coding RNA is filed under the name Oryza sativa (Asian cultivated rice). RNAcentral's name for it is "long non-coding RNA (OSAT_LNC000485)". Lineage: Eukaryota; Viridiplantae; Streptophyta; Magnoliopsida; Poales; Poaceae. The record is from RNAcentral.
GAAGCAUAAUUUAACUGUCGUAAAACUCAAUUCCACCGUUGGAUUGGACCAAAUCCUCGUACAAGACAAAACCGGCCCACAUGGAAACGAGUAAGGCAGGUCGGAGUCCAUAGGAGAGCACGUCCCAGGCAUGGUAGGGGGUAACAUUGAACCAACAACCCUUCACAACAAUAAUAGACGACGGCGAUGAACAAAACUAGGACGACUCUUUCUUCUCUUCCACCUCCGCUUCCUUCUUCUCCUCAGGCUCCUUCUCCUCUGCAGCCUCCUCGAACGUCUCUCCAGGGACAAGCUCAGGGACAUCAUCGUCGUCGUCCUGAGCGUUACCUGCGCUGGCACCAGCCUCAGCACCGGGUACCUGCUUCUGGAACUGCUCAGCAAGCCUCCUGAGGUUGUCCAGGUUAUCAGGUCCUGCAGAUAGGUAAUUAAGGGUGAUCAAACAAGAGUAUGUAUAUACUACUAUGUGAGUAGGACGUACUUAAAGACUAAUGCUUGGUUCAGAUAUUUCAGGAUUAGGGCGAGGUGUGCAAUAUUGAACUCAUAUUCAGUAAAACCAAGAAAAAAGUCUCAUA